CCUACGGGUGGCAGCAGUGGGGAAUAUUGGACAAUGGGGGAAACCCUGAUCCAGCGACGCCGCGUGAGUGAAGAAGUAUUUCGGUACGUAAAGCUCUAUCAGCAGGAAAGAUAAUGACGGUACCUGACUAAGAAGCCCCGGCUAACUACGUGCCAGCAGCCACGGUAAUACGUAGGGGGCAAGCGUUAUCCGGAUUUAAUGGGUGUAAAGGGAGCGUAGACGGCAGCGCAAGUCUGGAGUGAAAUGCCGGGGCUCAACCCGGGAACUGUUCUGGAAACUGUGAAGCUGGAGGGCAGGAGAGGUAGGCGGAAGUCCUGGUGUAGCGGUGAAAUGCGUAGAUAUCAGGAGGAACACUGGCGGCGAAGGCGGCUUACUGGACUGUAACUGACGUUGAGGCUCGAAGGCGUGGGGAGCAAACAGGAUUAGAUACCCCAGUAGUC
RNAcentral lists this ribosomal RNA (440 nucleotides) under uncultured bacterium. RNAcentral describes it as "partial 16S ribosomal RNA". It matches the Rfam family "Bacterial small subunit ribosomal RNA", at positions 338 to 795 of the family's 1533-position model. The record is from RNAcentral.